This 440-nucleotide ribosomal RNA is filed under the name uncultured bacterium. RNAcentral's name for it is "partial 16S ribosomal RNA". It matches the Rfam family "Bacterial small subunit ribosomal RNA", at positions 338 to 795 of the family's 1533-position model. The record is from RNAcentral.
CCUACGGGUGGCAGCAGUGGGGAAUAUUGCACAAUGGGGGCAACCCUGAUGCAGCGACGCCGCGUGAGUGAAGACGUCACUCGUUAUGUUAAGCUCCAUCAGCAGGGAAGAAAAUGACGGUACCUGAGUAAGAAUCCCCGGCUAACUACGUGCCAGCAGCCGCGGUAAUAAGUAGGGGGCAGGCGUUAUCCGGAUUUACUGGGUGUAAAGGGAGCGUAGACGGCAGUGCAAGUCUGGAGUGAAAGGCGGGGGCUCAACCGCCGGACGGCUGUGGAAACUGUACGGCUGGAGUGCAGGAGAGGUAAGCGGAAUUCGUGGUGUAGCGGUGAAAUGCUUAGAUAUUAGGAGGAACACCAGUGGCGAAGGCAGCUUACUGGAGUGUUACUGACGUUGAGGCUCGAAAGCGUGGGGAGCGAACAGGAUUAGAUACCCCAGUAGUC